RNAcentral lists this ribosomal RNA (460 nucleotides) under uncultured bacterium. RNAcentral's name for it is "partial 16S ribosomal RNA". It matches the Rfam family "Bacterial small subunit ribosomal RNA", at positions 338 to 795 of the family's 1533-position model. The record is from RNAcentral.
CCUACGGGUGGCAGCAGUGAGGAAUAUUGGUCAAUGGACGCAAGUCUGAACCAGCCAAGUAGCGUGCAGGAUGACGGCCCUAUGAGUUGUAAACUGCUUUUGUACGAGGGUAAACUCAGACACGUGUGUCUGUUUGCAAGUACCGUAUGAAUAAGGAUCGGCUAACUCCGUGCCAGCAGCCGCGGUAAUACGGAGGAUUCAAGCGUUAUCCGGAUUUAUUGGGUUUAAAGGGUGCGUAGGCGGUCGGAUAAGUUAGUUGUGAAAUCCCGAGGCUCAACCUUGGAAUUGCCUCUGAUACUGUUCGGCUAGAGAGCAGUUGCGGUAGGCGGAAUGCAUGGUGUAGCGGUGAAAUGCUUAGAGAUCAUGCAGAACACCGAUUGCGAAGGCAGCUUACCAAGCUGCUACUGACGUUGAGGCACGAAAGCGUGGGGAGCAAACAGGAUUAGAUACCCCUGUAGUC